GAUGAACGCUAGCGGCAGGCCCAACACAUGCAAGUCGAGGGGUAACUAGAGUGAUAGCAAUAUUACUUUGGCUAGACCGGCGCACGGGUGCGUAACACGUAUGCAACCUACCUUAUACUGGGGAAUAACUUCGAGAAAUCGGCGCUAAUACCCCAUAACAUUGCGAAGAGGCAUCUCUUUGCAAUUAAAGCUCCGGCGGUAUAAGAUGGGCAUGCGUCCAAUUAGCUAGUUGGUGAGGUAACGGCUCACCAAGGCUACGAUUGGUAGGGGUUCUGGGAGGAUGAUCCCCCACACUGGUACUGAGACACGGACCAGACUCCUACGGGAGGCAGCGGUGAGGAAUAUUGCGCAAUGGACGAAAGUCUGACGCAGCCAUGCCGCGUGCAGGAUGACGGCCCUAUGGGUUGUAAACUGCUUUUGUACGGGAAUAAACCCUUCUACGUGUAGGAGGCUGAAGGUACCGUAAGAAUAAGCACCGGCUAACUCCGUGCCAGCCGCCGCCGUAA
RNAcentral lists this ribosomal RNA (506 nucleotides) under uncultured bacterium. Its description in RNAcentral is "partial 16S ribosomal RNA". It matches the Rfam family "Bacterial small subunit ribosomal RNA", at positions 28 to 523 of the family's 1533-position model. The record is from RNAcentral.